AGUAACGCGUGAGGAACCUGCCUCAAAGAGGGGGACAACAGUUGGAAACGACUGCUAAUACCGCAUAAGCCCACAGCUCGGCAUCGAGCAGAGGGAAAAGGAGUGAUCCGCUUUGAGAUGGCCUCGCGUCCGAUUAGCUAGUUGGUGAGGUAAUGGCCCACCAAGGCGACGAUCGGUAGCCGGACUGAGAGGUUGAACGGCCACAUUGGGACUGAGACACGGCCCAG
Molecule: ribosomal RNA, 227 nt
Filed under: uncultured bacterium
Lineage: Bacteria
Description: partial 16S ribosomal RNA
Rfam family: Bacterial small subunit ribosomal RNA
Source: RNAcentral